Macaca mulatta (Rhesus monkey) is the source of this 476-nucleotide non-coding RNA. Lineage: Eukaryota; Metazoa; Chordata; Mammalia; Primates; Cercopithecidae. The record is from RefSeq and is a predicted model, not a curated record.
GUUCCAUUGUUUCCGAGGGACUAAGUCGGAUCAAAAUGGAGUUGUUCUUAAGGAACCAUGAUAAUUCUGGCUUAACACACUGAUGUCUAGGCCACCCACGGGUCCAGGCACAAUACGGACAAAAUAAAUGUUUGGGAGAGGAAAAAUCAUUACAAAAUGAUGGCGCCUGCCAGGCAGCCCUGAGAGCGUGAAGCAGUCAUGUCAACACAGAGACAGCAACAGUUGCUCACGGGUGGAAGCUUGGGCUCAUAUGGAAAGUCCCUGACUCACUUCCAAAGGGCACAGAUACUAUGUACUUCCUUCGCUGAACCUGCUGGAUCUCAAGAUUAUGAAAUAUUACAGAAAGAAAGAAAAAAUUCUGGGAAUCAAGUAGUUCACCAAUACAUCUCACAGAAACAAAAUGAACAAUUGCUCAAUGGAAUAAAAGAGUCAAAAAUCUCAUAAUAAAGAAUAAACCUUUUGGCAAUUAAAACUUA